GGCACCUGAAGCCCUUCGGGGCAGAGGAGGGCGGGGACUCGGGGCGGCUCUCAGCAUCCGCCUGGAGCUCGUGGCGCUGUGUUUCCGUGCUGUGGAGUUGCCUGGUCCGCUUCCUCCCCGCGAAUAAGAAUAAAAGAUUCUGGAGGAGUUGGAGAAGAGUGUAUUCAGCCCCCAAACCACGAGAUCAACAAAGAAAUGCACAAUUUUGAGGAAGAGUUAACUUGUCCCAUAUGUUAUAGUAUUUUUGAAGAUCCUCGUGUACUGCCAUGCUCUCAUACAUUUUGUAGAAAUUGUUUGGAAAACAUUCUUCAGGCAUCUGGUAACUUUUAUAUAUGGAGACCUUUACGAAUUCCACUCAAGUGCCCUAAUUGCAGAAGUAUUACUGAAAUUGCUCCAACUGGCAUUGAAUCUUUACCUGUUAAUUUUGCACUAAGGGCUAUUAUUGAAAAGUACCAGCAAGAAGACCAUCCAGAUAUUGUCACCUGCCCUGAACAUUACAGGCAACCAUUAAAUGUUUACUGUCUAUUAGAUAAAAAAUUAGUUUGUGGUCAUUGCCUUACCAUAGGUCAACAUCAUGGUCAUCCUAUAGAUGACCUUCAAAGUGCCUAUUUGAAAGAAAAGGACACUCCUCAAAAACUGCUUGAACAGUUGACUGACACACACUGGACAGAUCUUACCCAUCUUAUUGAAAAGCUGAAAGAACAAAAAUCUCAUUCUGAGAAAAUGAUCCAAGGCGAUAAGGAAGCUGUUCUCCAGUAUUUUAAGGAGCUUAAUGAUACAUUAGAACAGAAAAAAAAAAGUUUCCUAACGGCUCUCUGUGAUGUUGGCAAUCUAAUUAAUCAAGAAUAUACUCCACAAAUUGAAAGAAUGAAGGAAAUACGAGAGCAGCAGCUUGAAUUAAUGGCACUGACAAUAUCUUUACAAGAAGAGUCUCCACUUAAAUUUCUUGAAAAAGUUGAUGAUGUACGCCAGCAUGUACAGAUCUUGAAACAAAGACCACUUCCUGAGGUUCAACCCGUUGAAAUUUAUCCUCGAGUAAGCAAAAUAUUGAAAGAAGAAUGGAGCAGAACAGAAAUUGGACAAAUUAAGAACGUUCUCAUUCCCAAAAUGAAAAUUUCUCCAAAAAGGAUGUCAUGUUCCUGGCCUGGAACACCAGUGUAUUCAGUAGCGUGGGGCCCUGAUUCAGAAAAGGUUCUUUAUACAGCAGGCAAGCAGCUAAUCAUUAAACCUCUUCAACCAAAUGCUAAAGUUUUGCAGUGGAAAGCUCAUGAUGGCAUUAUUUUAAAAGUAGAUUGGAACUCGGUCAAUGAUCUUAUUUUAUCUGCUGGUGAAGACUGUAAAUAUAAGGUAUGGGAUAGUUACGGCCGCCCACUGUACAAUUCACAACCUCAUGAGCAUCCCAUUACUUCAGUUGCCUGGGCUCCAGAUGGAGAAUUAUUUGCUGUUGGAUCGUUUCAUACUUUACGCUUGUGUGAUAAAACUGGGUGGUCAUAUGCAUUAGAAAAACCCAACACUGGCAGCAUAUUUAAUAUUGCAUGGUCUAUCGAUGGCACUCAGAUUGCUGGAGCCUGUGGAAAUGGACAUGUCGUUUUUGCACAUGUGGUGGAACAACAUUGGGAGUGGAAAAAUUUUCAAGUAACAUUAACGAAAAGAAGAGCCAUGCAGGUUCGUAAUGUUCUUAAUGAUGCAGUGGAUUUACUGGAAUUCCGUGAUAGAGUCAUUAAAGCAUCUUUGAACUAUGCACACUUAGUUGUUUCAACGUCUCUUCAAUGUUACGUGUUCUCCACGAAGAACUGGAACACACCAAUUAUAUUUGAUCUCAAAGAAGGAACUGUUAGUUUGAUUCUGCAGGCAGAAAGACAUUUUCUUCUUGUAGAUGGUAGUAGUAUCUAUUUAUAUUCAUAUGAAGGGCGCUUUAUUUCAUCUCCAAAAUUUCCUGGAAUGAGAACAGAUAUUCUGAAUGCACAGACUGUGUCUUUGAGUAAUGAUACCAUAGCAAUAAGAGACAAAGCUGAUGAAAAAAUAAUCUUCCUCUUUGAGGCAUCAACCGGAAAGCCGUUAGGUGAUGGAAAGUUUCUUUCUCAUAAGAAUGAAAUCUUGGAAAUUGCUCUGGAUCAAAAAGGACUUACCAAUGAUAGAAAAAUUGCUUUCAUUGAUAAAAAUAGAGAUCUCUGUAUCACUUCUGUGAAACGAUUUGGGAAGGAAGAACAAAUUAUCAAGCUUGGAACAAUGGUGCAUACUUUGGCAUGGAACGAUACAUGCAAUAUCCUUUGUGGACUUCAAGAUACUCGAUUUAUAGUGUGGUAUUACCCCAAUACAGUUUAUGUGGACAGAGACAUUUUGCCUAAAACAUUAUAUGAAAGGGAUGCAAGUGAAUUUAGUAAAAAUCCCCAUAUUGUGAGUUUUGUUGGAAAUCAAGUAACUAUUAGAAGAGCUGAUGGCUCCCUGGUUCACAUCAGCAUAACACCAUAUCCUGCUAUUCUCCAUGAAUAUGUAAGCAGUUCAAAAUGGGAAGAUGCUGUGAGACUUUGUCGCUUUGUUAAGGAGCAAACCAUGUGGGCUUGUCUAGCUGCUAUGGCAGUUGCUAAUCGAGAUAUGACUACUGCAGAAAUAGCCUAUGCAGCAAUUGGUGAAAUUGAUAAGGUUCAGUACAUCAAUUCUAUAAAAAAUCUUCCAUCUAAAGAAUCAAAAAUGGCCCACAUACUACUGUUUAGUGGGAACAUACAGGAGGCUGAAAUAGUACUUCUUCAGGCUGGCCUUGUUUAUCAAGCAAUCCAGAUCAAUAUUAAUCUCUACAACUGGGAAAGGGCACUGGAAUUGGCUGUAAAAUACAAAACACAUGUUGAUACAGUUCUUGCUUACCGUCAAAAGUUUUUGGAGACAUUUGGUAAACAGGAAACUAAUAAACGAUACUUGCAUUAUGCAGAAGGUCUCCAAAUAGAUUGGGAGAAAAUCAAAGCCAAAAUUGAGAUGGAAAUUACAAAAGAAAGAGAGCAAUCAUCAAGCAGCCAAUCCAGCAAGAGUAUAGGUUUAAAGCCCUAAAUGCCAUGCGUAUCUUUAAGAAAUUUUAUCUUUUGAAACACGUUCUGAUUAACCAAGGGGCGUGUCACAGAACAGGAAACUGAUACAAUGACACUUGUUUCUUAAGAGAAGCUGAUUGAAUCCUGUAGCACAUUACUGCACAAUUAAUGGCUUUAAACGAGUUACAAGUCGUAAGUUCUUAUGUUUUGGAUCAUGUUGUGGAAUGUAUUCCAAAUGAAAAAUGGAGGAGAAAGUGCACAACAUCAUAUGCUUCAUGGUAUGGCAUAUACAUGUCAAUUAUUUUUACAUAUAACUGUGAUGAAUGAUACAAUUAAAAGCUAUACUACAAAAAAAAAAAAAAAA
Molecule: long non-coding RNA, 3384 nt
Filed under: Homo sapiens (human)
Lineage: Eukaryota; Metazoa; Chordata; Mammalia; Primates; Hominidae
Description: TRIM59-IFT80 readthrough (NMD candidate), transcript variant 1 (TRIM59-IFT80)
Source: RNAcentral